AGCAGCCGCGGUAAUUCCAGCUCCAAUAGCGUAUAUUAAAGUUGUUGCAGUUAAAAAGCUCGUAGUUGAAUUUCGGGAUCGAUACUUCGGUCGUGCCUUCGGUACGCACUGGCGUUUAUCGAUUUCUCCCUUCUGACGAUCCAUGAUGUCAUUAAUUUGGUGUUAUGGGGAAUCAGGACUGUUACUUUGAAAAAAUUAGAGUGUUUAAAGCAGGCAUUAGCUUGAAUACAUUAGCAUGGAAUAAUGAAAUAGGACGUUCGAACCUAUUUUGUUGGUUUUUAGGAUCAACGUAAUGAUUAAUAGGGAUAGUUGGGGGCAUUAGUAUUCAAUUGUCAGAGGUGAAAUUCUUGGAUUUAUUGAAGACUAACUACUGCGAAAGCAUUUGCCAAGGAUGUUUUCAUUAAUCAAGAACGAAAGUUAGGGGAUCGAAGACGAUCAGAUACCGUCGUAGUCUUAACCAUAAACUAUGCCGACUAGGGAUCGGAUGAUGUUAAUUUUUUAAUGACUCAUUCGGCGCCUUACG
RNAcentral lists this ribosomal RNA (523 nucleotides) under uncultured Glomeraceae. RNAcentral describes it as "SSU rRNA". It matches the Rfam family "Eukaryotic small subunit ribosomal RNA", at positions 569 to 1092 of the family's 1831-position model. Lineage: Eukaryota; Fungi; Glomeromycota; Glomeromycetes; Glomerales; Glomeraceae. The record is from RNAcentral.